Molecule: unclassified non-coding RNA, 644 nt
Filed under: uncultured Prochlorococcus sp.
Lineage: Bacteria; Bacillati; Cyanobacteriota; Cyanophyceae; Synechococcales; Prochlorococcaceae
Description: partial 16S-23S ribosomal RNA intergenic spacer; may also contain 16S ribosomal RNA and 23S ribosomal RNA
Rfam family: tRNA (bases 303-375)
Source: RNAcentral
UUGUGGAGGAGGACGCCGAAGGUGGGGCUAAUGACUGGGGUGAAGUCGUAACAAGGUAGCCGUACCGGAAGGUGCGGCUGGAUCACCUCCUAACAGGGAGACAACAAAAUGUUUAAUAUUAUUUUGUCACCUUAGGUCGAUCGGUAUCUCACGUUUUUAAUUUAUUAAGAAUUUCAUUUCCUAAGUUUUUUCUAGGUCACACCCAUUAUUUUUCCUGGGCCAUUAGCUCAGGUGGUUAGAGCGCACCCCUGAUAAGGGUGAGGUCCCUGGUUCAAGUCCAGGAUGGCCCAUAUCUCUAUGUUGGGGGUAUAGCUCAGUUGGUAGAGCGCCUGCUUUGCAAGCAGGAUGUCAGCGGUUCGAGUCCGCUUACCUCCACUGAUUACCACCUCUUCCAUAUUUAAUGAGAAGGAAAUGUUUUGAGUAGUGAUCAAAUUCUGAACGAAGCUAGCUUCCUAAUGAAAUCAUUAAGAUGCUGGACUCAUUGAAUUAAUUUCAUUGUUUUCAGAGAACCUUGACAACUGCAUAGAUUAUUUUUAAAGACAAUAAGCAUCUUUAAUGAUGCAGAUUUAUUAUUUGUGCGAAUGCAUUAAUAACAAUUCUAUUAAGCUGAUGCUUCAAUUUUGAAGUUAUUGGUCAAGCUACAA